RNAcentral lists this ribosomal RNA (710 nucleotides) under Dehalococcoidia bacterium. RNAcentral describes it as "partial 23S ribosomal RNA". It matches the Rfam family "Bacterial large subunit ribosomal RNA", at positions 2220 to 2925 of the family's 2925-position model. Lineage: Bacteria; Bacillati; Chloroflexota; Dehalococcoidia. The record is from RNAcentral.
CUCUAACCCCAGAACAAGCUGGGGGACAGUGUCUGGCGGGUAGUUUGACUGGGGCGGUCGCCUCCUAAAAGGUAACGGAGGCGCCCAAAGGUCCCCUCAGGGUGGAUGGAAACCACCCAUAGAGUGCAUUGGCAUAAGGGGGCUUGACUGUGAGACCUACAAGUCGAGCAGGUGCGAAAGCAGGGCAAAGUGAUCCUACGGUUCCGUGUGGAAGGGCCGUGGCUUAACGGAUAAAAGCUACCCCGGGGAUAACAGGCUUAUCUUGCCCAAGAGUUCACAUCGACGGCAAGGUUUGGCACCUCGAUGUCGGCUCGUCGCAUCCUGGGGCUGAAGCAGGUCCCAAGGGUUGGGCUGUUCGCCCAUUAAAGCGGUACGCGAGCUGGGUUCAGACCGUCGUGAGACAGGUCGGUCUCUAUCCGUCGUGGGCGUCCGGAGAUUUGAGGGGGGCUCUCUCUAGUACGAGAGGACUGAGAGGGACAGACCUCUGGUGUGCCAGCUGUUCCGCCCGGAGCAUCGCUGGGUAGCUAAGUCUGGUUGGGAUAAGCGCUGAAAGCAUCUAAGUGCGAAGCUCGCCCCAAGAUAAGAUCUCCCACCUCGGUGAUUUAUCACCGAGGGUAAGACCGCAGGUAGACUACCUGUUUGAUAGGCCGCAGGUGUAAGCGCAGUAAUGUGUUUAGCUAAGCGGUACUAAUGGUCGAGGGCUUGACCUG